AUUGAACGCUGGCGGCGUGCUUAACACAUGCAAGUCGUGCGGUAACAGGCGUAGCAAUACGUGCUGACGAGCGGCGAACGGGUGCGUAAUACAUGGGAAUCUGCCUUUUAGUGGGGAAUAACCCGGCGAAAGCCGGGCUAAUGCCGCAUAAGAUCUUCGGAUGAAAGCGGGGGAUCGUAAGACCUCGCGCUGAUAGAUGAGCCCAUGCCGGAUUAGCAGUUGGUGAGGUAACGGCUCACCAAGGCGACGAUCCGUAGCUGGUCUGAGAGGACGGCCAGCCACACUGGGACUGAGACACGGCCCAGACUCCUACGGGAGGCAGCAGUGGGAAUAUUGGAC
This 339-nucleotide ribosomal RNA is filed under the name uncultured bacterium. RNAcentral's name for it is "bacterial SSU rRNA". It matches the Rfam family "Bacterial small subunit ribosomal RNA", at positions 30 to 369 of the family's 1533-position model. The record is from RNAcentral.